AAAUCUAUUUAUGUUUCAAGACACACCGGGAGUUUACAACUUGACCCGCGGGAGGAAUCUUCGGAUCCCUCGUUUGGAGAUUUGUGGCAGUCAGCGGAGGCUCGGCGGUGCGGAUCCCAGAUUCACUGUAACCAUUUUUCCUGCACCCUCAAACAACCAAUCACUCUAUCCACGAUCUUAGGUUGACAACGACUGACCAGUCGUGUUCGCACAGGCUCCAUCUCCAGACAUUUGGUCCGAAGGUUUAGUUGUAGAACAAAAGAGUGGGGGGGCGGGGGGUAAAAAAAAACCGCGAAGCUGCUGUCUACGUGGACCGGUGCUGAAGCCUCCCGUCCGACUGCCAGGACCUUUGCCAAAUCCAGAGACAUGGCGACGAACGGCACCAAAGCGGAUGGACAGGUCACAGAACUGAACGAGGUGGCCGCCAACAACGACAAGCCCAAGUCCCUGGACGUGAAGACCGACAAGAAGCAGAAAGACGUCCCCGCCAGAGAAACAUGGGGAGGAAAAUUUGAUUUCCUCCUGUCUUGUGUGGGUUAUGCAAUUGGACUGGGGAACGUGUGGAGAUUUCCCUAUCUCUGCGGGAAAAACGGCGGAGGUAAAUACUUCUUUCACUGUUCAUGUAUGCACACACUGAGUGAGCCAUUCAGAUCAACGAUGCACAUGAUGGAGCUUAUAAUUUAGCGACUCCAGAACAAAAA
Long non-coding RNA from Poecilia latipinna (sailfin molly), 701 nucleotides. RefSeq lists it as uncharacterized. The record is from RefSeq and is a predicted model, not a curated record. The transcript has 2 exons. Lineage: Eukaryota; Metazoa; Chordata; Actinopteri; Cyprinodontiformes; Poeciliidae.